Molecule: ribosomal RNA, 253 nt
Filed under: uncultured bacterium
Lineage: Bacteria
Description: partial 16S ribosomal RNA
Rfam family: Bacterial small subunit ribosomal RNA
Source: RNAcentral
UACGAAGGGAGCUAGCGUUGUUCGGAAUGACUGGGCGUAAAGGGCGUGUAGGCGGUCUUGUGCGUCAGAUGUGAAAUCCCUGGGCUUAACCUAGGAAUGGCAUUUGAUACGGCAAGACUAGAGAUGGAUAGAGAAUCGUGGAAUUGCGAGUGUAGAGGUGAAAUUCGUAGAUAUUCGCAGGAACACCAGUGGCGAAGGCGGCGAUCUGGGUCCAUACUGACGCUGAGGCGCGAAAGCGUGGGGAGCAAACAGG